This 1303-nucleotide ribosomal RNA is filed under the name Xya japonica. Its description in RNAcentral is "16S ribosomal RNA". The stretch from base 872 to 1231 matches the Rfam family "Archaeal large subunit ribosomal RNA", at positions 2151 to 2715 of the family's 2987-position model. The record is from RNAcentral. Lineage: Eukaryota; Metazoa; Arthropoda; Insecta; Orthoptera; Tridactylidae.
UUUUAAAGUAUUAUUUUGUUUAAUUAUUAUUUUUUUUGUUUAAUUAAAUUAAUUUUUAUUAGUAUUGUUUAAGUAUUUUUUAGAAUUAAUUAAUAUAAUUAUAGUUUAUUAGUAAUGUAAAUGAAUUUAUUGGGUUUUGAUUAAUUAAUAAGUACUUUUUUAGGGUACCUUUUGUAUCAGGGUUGAUAAAUAUUAUUUUGUUGAUUAUAUUUUUCUCGAUUUAGGUUGAUUUACAAUCAAAUUAUUUUUAUCGUAUCAUAGAUAUUUUGAAUUUGAUUUUAGAAGUGAAAUGUUAAUCGUUUCCUAAUAUAUCUAGUUCCUCAAGAAAAAAAUUCAAUUUUAUAAGGUUUAUUGGUUAUUUAUUAAUUUUAAUUUUUAAUUAAUUUCCUAUUAAUACUUUAGGGGAUAAGCUCUUUAGUAACUUUAUUCUAUAAUUUUAUUAUUUUUAUUUAAAAGUAGGCUUUAAACUGGCCAUCUUUUUGGAUUACGUUUUAGUUCAUUUUAUUUUUUAUGAUUUUAUAAAUUAUUUAGGUUUGUUAUUGAGGUAAUUAAAUAGAUUUUGAAUUUAUUGUAAUAAUGAUUGAAUUAGUAUAUUUAAUUGUAUAGAAUUUUUUAUGAUUUUAAUUUGAUUUAAGGAAUUAGGCAAAAUUACUCUUCGCCUGUUUAUCAAAAACAUGUCUUUUUGAUUAUAAUUUAAGGUCUGACCUGCUCACUGAAUAAUUUUAAAGAGCCGCGGUAUUAUGACCGUGCAAAAGGUAGCAUAAUCAUUAGCCUUUUAAUUGGAGGAUAGAAUGAAAGGUUUGAUGUGAAAUUUAUUUUCUUAGGAUAAAAAAUAGAAAUUUAUAUUUUAGUUAAAAAGCUAAAAUGAAUAUAAGGGACGAGAAGACCCUAUAGAUUUUUAUUGAUUUUAUUAUUAAAGAUUAAGAUAAAAUAUUUUAAUAGUAAUAUUAAUUUAGUUGGGGUGACGGAAAGAAUAAUAAAACUCUUUUUUAACCUAACUUGAAUAAGAGGAUUAUUGAUCCAAUAAAGUGUUGAUUAUAAGAAUAAAAUACCUUAGGGAUAACAGCGUAAUUAUUUUUUGGAGUACGAAUCUACAAAAUAGAUUGCGACCUCGAUGUUGAAUUAAGAUAAAUUAUUGAUGUAGCAGUUAAUAUUUGUGGUCUGUUCGACCUUAUAUAUCUUACAUGAUUUGAGUUCAGACCGGCGUGAGCCAGGUCGGUUUCUAUCUUUAUAGAGUGAAUUAUUUCUUAGUACGAAAGGACCAGUUAUGAGAAUAAAAUUUUUAAAAAGAUUAAGGUUAAAU